Molecule: ribosomal RNA, 620 nt
Filed under: uncultured bacterium
Lineage: Bacteria
Description: bacterial SSU rRNA
Rfam family: Bacterial small subunit ribosomal RNA
Source: RNAcentral
GGGUGAGUAACACGUGAGCAACCUGCCUCUGAGAGAGGGAUAGCUUCUGGAAACGGAUGGUAAUACCUCAUAACAUAACGAAGCCGCAUGACUUUGUUAUCAAAGAUUUAUCACUCAGAGAUGGGCUCGCGUCUGAUUAGAUAGUUGGUGAGGUAACGGCUCACCAAGUCGACGAUCAGUAGCCGGACUGAGAGGUUGAACGGCCACAUUGGGACUGAGACACGGCCCAGACUCCUACGGGAGGCAGCAGUGGGGAAUAUUGCACAAUGGGGGAAACCCUGAUGCAGCGAUGCCGCGUGGAGGAAGAAGGUUUUCGGAUUGUAAACUCCUGUCUUAAAGGACGAUAAUGACGGUACUUUAGGAGGAAGCUCCGGCUAACUACGUGCCAGCAGCCGCGGUAAUACGUAGGGAGCGAGCGUUGUCCGGAAUUACUGGGUGUAAAGGGAGCGUAGGCGGGAUGGCAAGUCAGAUGUGAAAACUAUGGGCUCAACCCAUAGACUGCAUUUGAAACUGCUGUUCUUGAGUGAAGUAGAGGUAAGCGGAAUUCCUGGUGUAGCGGUGAAAUGCGUAGAUAUCAGGAGGAACAUCGGUGGCGAAGGCGGCUUACUGGGCUUUUACUG